This 377-nucleotide unclassified non-coding RNA is filed under the name Hevea brasiliensis (rubber tree). Lineage: Eukaryota; Viridiplantae; Streptophyta; Magnoliopsida; Malpighiales; Euphorbiaceae. The record is from RNAcentral.
UACGAACACAACAAGGUUUUGAAACAUCAAGAGGUUGAUAAAAAUCAAUUAGAUCUUCAAUGCUCCUCACUUUCUUUCUUACUAAAAGCUUUGCCAGAGCUGACUGGAGAGCAUUUUUCCUGCCAAUCAGAAACUUCUCCGCAUCACCACCAACCAAUGAGAUUUCCUGCCCAAAUAGAAUGUCAUACACUAUUAUGUAGAUCAGUUCCUCUUGCCUCUUCCACUUGCUAUUUAGUAUGGCAGCAGACUCCAAGACAUUCUUAAUAAUGGGUAAAUGCUUAAGGGUUUGGCAGACGAGAGCGAAAGUCGCCUUUUUGUUCUUAACGGAAGGGCCAUAGACGAGGGAUCUGAUGGAGCCAACAGCUUGGCGCUGGGCG